CCUACGGGAGGCUGCCGUGAGGAAUAUUGGUCAAUGGGCGAGAGCCUGAACCAGCCAAGUCGCGUGAGGGAGUACUGCCCUAUGGGUUGUAAACCUCUUUUGUCGGGGAGCAAAAGCCGGACGUGUCCGGCUGUGAGAGUAUCCGAAGAAAAAGCAUCGGCUAACUCCGUGCUAGCAGCCGCGGUAAUCCGGAGGAUGCGAGCGGUAUCCGGAGUUAUUGGGUUUAAAGGGUGCGCAGGCGGAUUUUUAAGUCAGCGGUAAAAUCGUGGGGCUCAACCCCAUCCAGCCGUUGACACUGGGGAUCUAGAGUGGGCGAGAGGUAUGCGGAAUGCGUGGGGUAGCGGUGAAAUGCAUAGAUAUCACGCAGAACCCCGAUUGCGAAGGCAGCAUACCGGUGCACAACUGACGCUGAGGCACGAAAGCGUGGGUAUCGAACAGGAUUAGAUACCCUUGUAGUC
Molecule: ribosomal RNA, 458 nt
Filed under: uncultured bacterium
Lineage: Bacteria
Description: partial 16S ribosomal RNA
Rfam family: Bacterial small subunit ribosomal RNA
Source: RNAcentral